Long non-coding RNA from Macrosteles quadrilineatus (aster leafhopper), 461 nucleotides. RefSeq lists it as uncharacterized. The transcript is spliced from 3 exons. NCBI's taxonomy places the organism in Eukaryota, Metazoa, Arthropoda, Insecta, Hemiptera, Cicadellidae. The record is from RefSeq and is a predicted model, not a curated record.
CAUCUUUCAUUUCAAUCAAUCAUCUCUAGUCCUAGUCCUAGUCUCAAUCUCGUAAUUUUUAUUUCACUUACUUCACACCAUGUUGCAAUGAUUGUAUUUUUCCCUUUGCUUUGAGAUUCUGAUGUAUAAUAAUUAUUUACGGCUGACGCUGAAUACAGGUUUUUAAUGGUGGUCAACUUGAGAUACCAGCUUUAAGGCACGCAGGCACGUAUAAAACCAUGGGGCACGAGGUCAAAAUAAAAUCAGUAGACUUUACACAAGACUGACCAAGUUUCUAACAUCCUUUGAAGCUACAGGAAAGGGAAGGAUGCCGCUACAGUCGAAGAGAAUCGGGCCUAUGGAGAUGUCAGCGAAGAUAUAAACACUUUUCAACAAUCACUAGGCCUAUACAUUGAGCCUACAGUUAUAAAUUUUUAAAUCUUGAAAGUGAUUUACUUUUGUUUAUAGAUUUGAUAUAUUAU